GGGGAAUAUUGCACAAUGGGCGCAAGCCUGAUGCAGCGACGCCGCGUGAGGGAUGACGGCCUUCGGGUUGUAAACCUCUUUCAGCAGGGACGAAGCGCAAGUGACGGUACCUGCAGAAGAAGCACCGGCCAACUACGUGCCAGCAGCCGCGGUAGUACGUAGGGUGCAAGCGUUGUCCGGAAUUACUGGGCGUAAAGAGCUCGUAGGCGGUUUGUCGCGUCGUCUGUGAAAACCAGCAGCUCAACGGGUGGCUUGCAGGCGAUACGGGCAGACUUGAGUAUUUCAGGGGAGACUGGAAUUCCUGGUGUAGCGGUGAAAUGCGCAGAUAUCAGGAGGAACACCGGUGGCGAAGGCGGGUCUCUGGGAAAUAACUGACGCUGAGGAGCGAAAGCGUGGGUAGCGAAC
Molecule: ribosomal RNA, 405 nt
Filed under: uncultured bacterium
Lineage: Bacteria
Description: bacterial SSU rRNA
Rfam family: Bacterial small subunit ribosomal RNA
Source: RNAcentral